AAGUGGAAACUCGGAAGAAAAGUCUGUGGACUGCCAGUACCACAACGGAGGCAAGAGCCGAUGAAAGCUUUGGGGCCUUCCGUAUGGGCGGCUACCUGUGAGGAGCCGCAGCACAUCCCUUAAUAUGAGAACCUGGUGUAUGGACACUGCUUCUGUUUGGACUGAAAACAGACUUCCCUGAGGGCUGUUACACCUUUAGCUGACACUAAUUUUAGUACAGCUCUGGGAUGCUGGCGGCCAGGGGAGAAGGACUGGAAGGGAAGAAUGUGGAAGGAGAGCAGAGAUCUCAGAAAUAACCCAGCGCUCACAGGUUAAAUAAAAGAGACAACUGAAUUGAGGAGCAGCUUGGUGCUUUCACCUGGAGGAAGAGGGGGAGCAGGAGCUCAGCCCUUUCUGGACACCAGAGGACAACAGCCAUGUCCUGAUGGCCAGGAUGGCAUCAAUCAACUCUUGCCAUCAACCAACUCAGUCAACCAUGAGUCCGACAUGUGGGACAACCCUAGUUCCAUUCACUGCUGUAUUCUCUAAACCCUGUGCUCUCUUUCACCCUCUUCCAAAAUAAGAGCAAGGGUUAUUGAAAUCAAGUGAUUGUGAGGAAAAGGGGGCUUUUCAAAACCCUUUCAUACCUACUGGGCUCUCUGAUGUCCUCUUAAUAUACAGCAGUAAGUGAUUUAUAGCCCUCCUGACGUGAUGGUUUGGUGUUUCCUUUGUGUGCAUAACUUCCUUUUGAUAUAAGGGGAUGAUAACAAACCCAAAUUGUAAUCUCAUAAGCACAUGACACAUUGUCUUUGUGGUGCAGAUAGCAGGAAAAUGCUCUGAUCUUGAGUUCAGAGCUUCACCCCCCCCAAAUUUCACCCUGGUGACAGAAUGGCAUCAGCAGGCUCAGUGAGACAGCAGUGUUGGCAGGAGGGUUUCCUUCAGACCUGGUGAUUCUGGCUGAUAUUUGUUGGGAGUCCUCCUGGAGCUGAGUCCCUGGUGUGGACUGAACAAGAGAUGGGCGCACAGUUGCUUCUUGAACUUCUUUCACAUCUUUUGGAUGAGUGCCUGGGAGGAAGAACUGGUGCAAAGCCUUCACGUAGUACUGUGGGCUCCCCAGCAGAGCUUUGCUGCUGGCCCCUCCCAAUUCAGCGUGCGCCCUGUCCCAUCGCAUCGAAGGACGAGCAUGCACAAACUCUACUGCUGUCACAGAUGUGCCAGUAACCUAGGGGGCUAGUCCUAAAGCUGGGCUACUUUUGGCACCAGGGAAGGGCUGCCCUCCCCUCAAGGUGCCUUUCCACCCUUGGGAGCUUCCUGCAUUUAUGGUGCAGCUGUUUCCAGGUUCUCAUGGGAGCCGAAUGAACAGAUGCCAAAUAAUCUGUCUUCAGGGAGCACAAAAAUGGAUGGAUGAGGGAAAGACCUUGGAGCUGUGCACACCUUCUUCUCCCCUCCUGGGGGAGUAUUUGAAUUAGGCCUGAACCCCUCAGGAGCUUGACUGUAAGAAAGUCGCCUUCCUAUUCCCAAAGUUCACUCCAAAACCGCCUUUCUCCUUUUGUCACACAGCUAAUGGGAGACCAUCCCUUCUGUGUCUCCUGCACUGCGAGGCUCUUUGGUCAGCCUCAGCAGGUGACGGGAUGGACCAGUGUCUACUUAUGUUGGCACAGGGCAAAACCAGUAUUCAUGGCUUGACUUGCUUUUCUCACCAAGCAUCCUGCCCUGCUCAGAGGGCCCUGGUUAAAUGCCUGAGCAGCUCUAGCAGCAGGUUUACCCAGCUGUGACAGGUACCCCCACAGGUAUUGAUCAGAAAAGGCUUCCAGAGAUAAAUUAAGCUUUUGAAAUACAACAGCGAGCUAGUGGCUGGGUCCCACAUUGAGAGGCUUAUGGUGCAUGGGGCCAAUGAGUCGAUCAAGUGCCAUAUGUACCCUGCAUGUCUUCUCCUUAACUGAGCCCUGCUCAGUGACACUGACCCACGCAGUCCCUUACAGAUGCUCAACAAUAUUUAAUUUCAAAGGGUAACAAUUCACCCUCUUCUCCAGGCAGCUAUUUUUCCUUGUGUCAAUGUCCUCAGAGCAACUCCAGCUAGGCAAAUAUAGCACAUGGCUUAUGAGAGCACUGGAAGGACUUAGAGGUGGGGAGCUAAGGCUACAGAAAGUUCAUGGUUAACCCAAUAUGCUGUGGGAUGGCUCUCACAGGGCUAAAGCCACAGGACACACCGAGGAGACGGGGAGGAGAGGUCAGCGGUCCUGCAGAGGACCAGCCAUACCUCGGCCAGCCAUCCUCCGAGACGCUUGCAUCGCUGCUCCCAAGAAUUCCCAUGAAAAAUAAUCACACGCUCCUUUUAUGUCCUUGUAAUCACAAACAUGUUAUGCUUCCCUGCCCACUUCUAAAGAGAAAAGUCA
Molecule: long non-coding RNA, 2375 nt
Organism: Cygnus olor (mute swan)
Lineage: Eukaryota; Metazoa; Chordata; Aves; Anseriformes; Anatidae
Exons: 3
Source: RefSeq, a predicted model, not a curated record